This 878-nucleotide long non-coding RNA is filed under the name Olea europaea subsp. europaea. Lineage: Eukaryota; Viridiplantae; Streptophyta; Magnoliopsida; Lamiales; Oleaceae. The record is from RNAcentral.
CUUGAAGGAGAAGACGGAGGCUGAGUUGUGGUUUAGACUAGAACAGUUAUGUAUGACUAAGAGUCUUACAAGUAAACUGGCUUUUAAGUAGAAGCUGUCUUAAGUACAAGUAAACUGGCUCUUAAGUAGAAGACGACGGCUGCGUUGUGGUUUCCCAUCGCAUCGCGGAAGAAGAAUCGUUGGAAGACCAUGUUGCCGUAUUUAAGGAAAUACUUGCAGAUCUGGAGACGUUGGAGGUUAAGUACGAUGAAAAGGAUCUUGCCUUAAUCUUGUUGUGUUCGCUACCUGGGUCUUAUGUGUCGUUUCGGGAUAUUAUCUUGUAUAGUUGAGAUACUUUGACUAUAGAAGAUGUCUACGAUGCUUUGCACUCAAAGGAGAAGAUGAAACAUUUGGUUGGAGCUACAUCAAGAGAUGGGAAAGUUCUUGUAUCUCAAGGUGGUCGACGAAGAGGCAAAUCGAGAGUUAAAUUUAGCAAUGUGACCUGUUACUACUGCAAAAGGAAAUGACAUAUUCGGAAGGAUUGCGAUAUAUUGCAGGCUAAAGGUGAUUUAGCUACAAAUCGUGGAACACAACCCUGAAUUCAUAAGAAACCAAAGUAGUUGAGUAUUAUUCAGAUAGCGAAAUGUGAUGUUGACCGUGAUAUCUGAUGUGAAAUCUAAGUCUGACGAGGAGUGGAUUCUUGAUUCAGCAUGUUCGCAACAUAUUUUUCCGAUGAAAAUUUAUUUUAGACAUAUGAGGCUGUUCAGCAAGGUGGAACCGUAAUGGGAAACAACUAAUCUUGUCGUAUUGCUGGGAUCGAUUCGGGAAUUUGUUCUUACAAAAUUUUAUUAACAUGAUCAACACAUUCAUUUAUAAGCGUAAGAAUAACUCUAUUUGCC